Long non-coding RNA from Anguilla rostrata (American eel), 519 nucleotides. RefSeq lists it as uncharacterized. The transcript has 2 exons. The record is from RefSeq and is a predicted model, not a curated record. Lineage: Eukaryota; Metazoa; Chordata; Actinopteri; Anguilliformes; Anguillidae.
GCCUCAGCGGGCAGCUCGCUCUGUUCCUCCCCUUCCUCCUCUCCCUCUUCCUCCUCCUUCUCUGGAUGGACGAUCUCAAUCUUCAGGGUCACACAUUCGACGGAGCGGUCUUUAAAUGUUUUCUCCAGCUACAACAGAGUCGGCCUGUGAAUAUUCCUGUUGUGAAGGGUGUCAUGUGACUGGAUGGAGAUGUCUAGAUGAGGGCAAAAGCAGAAAUGGGGGGUACAGCACCCAAAAUGUCUCCCUUCCCCCAGUGCGACUCGGCCGUCCAUGCGCUCCAAUUACGGAAGAGACACGCGUACUUCAUCCGGACUCUGAAUGUGUAAUUUCUCCCGCUGCCUUUCGCAAAAGGCUGGAGUGUGAAAUUGAACGAAAGCAGAACAAAAUCCUGAGACACAAGAAAGAGACGCACGUGAAUAUUGGGGCAGAGAUACGGGGGUGCAAUGUGCAACCUAAAAAAAAGAUAAAAUGAAGAACAAACCAUUCCCUUUAUGGCACUAUAAACUGUACCAAUCUCUA